Cyanistes caeruleus (blue tit) is the source of this 3995-nucleotide RNA transcript. It is a transcript of the gene named intraflagellar transport 27, with no coding region annotated. Lineage: Eukaryota; Metazoa; Chordata; Aves; Passeriformes; Paridae. The record is from RefSeq and is a predicted model, not a curated record.
CGCCGCCACCUGCCCCGGGCCGGCGCCAUGGUGAAGCUCGCUGCCAAGUGCCUGCUGGCAGGAGAUCCAGCUGUGGGCAAGAGUGCUUUAGCCCAGAUGUUUCGCAGCGAUGGGGCUCAUUUUCAGAAGAACUACACACUGACAGCGGGCAUAGAACUGUUGGUGAAGGCUGUAUCAGUUCCAGAGACAAGUGAUAGUGUGGAAUUCUUCAUUUUUGACUCUGCAGGAAAAGAUCUAUUUUCUGAAAUGCUGGAGAAACUGUGGGAGCAACCCAACGUCCUGUGCCUUGUGUAUGAUGUCACUAAUGAGCAAUCCUUCAACAACUGCAGCAAAUGGUUGGAGAAGCUGAGGGCUCAAGCAGUUGGGAUGCACAUCCCAGGUGUCUUAGUGGGGAAUAAAACAGACCUAGCUGAUCGUCGAGUUGUGGAACAGGAACAAGCACAGGAGUGGGCUGAGAAACAUGGCCUGGAAUACUGUGAGAUGUCAGUGAAGGAAAUGAAAAAUUUUGAGGCCCCAUUCCACAUUCUGGCAAAAUUAUUCCACCAACUGUACAAAGAGAAAGUGGAAACUUUUCACUCACUAGCCUGACUGGUAUGAUUUAUUUAUCCUCUAAGCUUCUUCUAGUACUGAGAAUCCUGCUGGAUUGAAUACAGAGAGAAGAAAAAAUAUGAGCUAUUUGCUACUUCAUGGUCAUCCUCUGGUAAUUCAAAAUAAACUAGAAAUAAGCAAGUGGAAAGACACUCUUCUGAAGCUGCUACCUCAGCAUUCCUUUCAUGUCUUCUAACUUGGUUCUCUGCUCAUUGAAAAUCUGCUAGGUUGGAGGAGGCGGAGAGUAAAAGGGGAGGACAGAAUGGAAAUUGCCAGCUCUUUGCUUUGAUAUCUUUUUGUCUGAACAGACUUCCUGCUGCUACAAGCAAGGAUUUAGAGGUUUGGAAAAGCAGAGAGGAAGCUGACAGGAUGUUUUUCGACUUAAGCCAGCCUUGAUACAUACACUGCAGGGCAGGACCGAUUUGGCCCUACCCCCUGAAAAGCAUUUUCAGGAGGAGGCUUACAGCCCUAAAAUCAACACCUGGAGACUGAGAUGUGUGGGGGCAGAGCUGGAUUUAGAAUCUGUUUCUUUCCUUCGGCGUGGCUCACUGUCCCUGCCUGGUGGGAGCUGCGUCGCGUCCAACCGCUGUCGCUUGGUGACGCAGUGCCCUCUGCUGGUCCCAGGUCACAGAAGUUCUCCAGAGGCUGCCACCUCCCUUGGAGUGAGCCAGGAACGGCUUCCUGCAGCCGCAUCCAAAUUGGAUAAACUGCAGAGUGGAGUCAAAUUGCGAGAAUACCUUUUCUAUUUUAAAGAUUAAAACUUAUAAAAAAUUGCCUUUUCUUCUAAAUGUCUUUAUCAUCUUACAUAUUGUUGUGUCAUUUUUGUCAGCUGAAUUUGGCAAUACCAUUCUGAUUAGGUGCAGUUCUCAAUCUGAAAAUCAGAGUCCUCUUAUUAAAGUCUCUCUGCUUGUCAUUGAAUUUCAGAUAAAAGACCAUGGUUCUGAUGUUGCUAGUGGAAACAGGACUAAGGAAAUGAAAGUCAGCCUGGCUAAGUUACUCUGACUCAGCUGUGUCUGGCUAGAAGUUUCAUAUUAGAAAGGGUAAAAGCCUAGAGAGAGUUGCUCUUUUGUGUGCAGUACUGAUGUUGCAUAUGUAAGAGUCUUUGCUAAUGCAGUAUGCAGAAGCACCUGUGGUGAGGUCCUGCCUUGUAACUGAGCCUAACACCAAGAAUUGCAAAAAUUUAACCAUUAUCUUCCAGAUUAUGGUAGACCCCCUUAGGCAAGGGAAGCUGAGUUUUGUAGAGACUAAGCACUGAGUGAUUUUUCAGGCAGUCUUUUCAGGAAUCUGUGUUUCAAGAGUUUUAUAUGUGUGGUUUAUAAUAACUUUUAUGCCCAGUGCUAGGAAAAGUACAUUAAAUUGAACAUAAGAAAUAUGGCUGCAGAUGUUGCAGCAGAGUUUAUGAAGCACUUGAAGAAUCUGGAGAAGCACUGCCCUCAUUUCACUGGCAACAGUGUGUUGAUGCUGGGAACUCACUAGGGAGUAUGAAUACCAGUUAAAGAGGGUGAGUAGGAACUCAAUCUACAAGAAGUGAAAACAAGAGGUUCUUUUGCUAGAAGCCAACUCAAAAAUGGCAGAACAAGGUGGGGAAACUCCUACUUUCUCCAAAAAAGGAAGGGGUCCUCCAUGAACUUAGGGUAACAAGAAGACUCACUCUUUUUAAAAUUGGAUUAGCAUUACUGGCAUUUGUGUCUUACAUGGGUUGUCUUGUUAAUCCUGGGUAUUUUCUGUUGAUUUACAUAGGCUGUAUAGAUGCUUGCUUGCAGGUGCUGAUGUCUCUGAAUAGUAAGAAUAAAAGCUAUUUUGGAUGCUGUGCUGAUCUUGUUAAAGAACUAAAGAAGGUUUGUUUUUAUUUGGUAUUUCAUUUCCCCCUGCUUCCAUUGAUGAUGUGAUCACAAAACAAGACACAUAUUUUUUCAUAUUGAAAAUAACAUAGCAGACGUGUAUGUCACCUGUGACAUUGUGUAUCUAGGGGGGAUGAAUGCCUUGGGAAUAGGUAAUAAAAUGAAUUCUGUGCAAUCUUUAACCAGGGAGCCCAUCUCUCUGCACCUGAAGGACCUCCCAUAAAUUCAAAUAAACACUCUGAAAGCACCAGUAAGAUGAAUACUGGUGAAUGCUGUUUUAUAAAAUAAAUGUAAAAGCUGGAGGAGCUCAUUAAGGGAAUGUUUGCAGUGGUGAUUUGUGAUUUAUAGGGAAGCUGCUUUUGAGAAGUUAGUGAAGAAAAAUGCUGCCCAUGCAGGGAAAGAUGUAUUGCCUAAGAGAGGAAAUGCAUGAUGUAAUUACCUUAUAGUAGGGAUUCACCCACUGCCCCUUUCCCUCUUCCACAGACCACAACUACAAUUAGAAAAGAAAUCGUGUCUAAAGCAUGUUGUCCAACUUGCUUCUUACAGGACUAUUUCAAGCACUAAUGUGGACACGAUUUAAUGCCUUUCAAAAUAGUGUGUUUGACAACAAUCUCAACCACUUCAAAUGCAUUUUAACAGCAUAAUAUAUUGUCCUUCCUGGCCAAUGUGCUGUAUAAUACCAGCCUGAUGCAAGUGGUGGUCAUUGCUAUUUUCCUGGCUUAAAUGUGACCUUGGUUGUAGAGGCUACGAGCGCAGAAGGGGUAAAAAACAUGGGAGCCAAACAUGGGAAGGUUGUGGGAAAUAGUUUUGUUUCUGUUUGAAGAAGUUCAGGGUAGUGACUAAGUGAGCUGGACCAGCAGGAUGAGUAAGAGUCUGGAGCCAUUAUUAAGUUGCUUCUCCCUGUUUACUAACUGUGGCAGUCACAUCUGUAGAACGAGGAUGCAUGUUUACUGCUUGUAGGCUUAGCAUCAGUCUGAAUUACAGAUGCUGUGGAGAACAGUGGGAGAAAGACAGGAAGCCUGUCUUCUGACCAGGAGGCCUCUUGUCUUCUUACAGCUCCCCUGCUUUGUCCAGCUGUGCAGUGCUGCAGGUGCUCAGCAUGAGUGUUACAGCACAGAAAAGACCCAGCUCAACCAGAACUGAAAUUUCAAAAGAAGGGGAAGGAAACAAACAAGCCUUUAACUGGUUUUAAUAGAUAUGUAGUCCUUUUUCCUGCUUGCUUGUUUGAUUAGACAAAACCAUUUCUUUCCUCCCGGGAGUCCCUCCUUCUUACCUUUCCUUUGGUCCUCAUGGGUCUGCACAAAAUCUCUGUUAUACUUGUGCCCUGCUUUACUUAGCUUGAUACAUCACCAGCUGAUUUUUUUUUUAAUCCUUCUAAUUUCUGCAUUAUCUAUUCCCAAGGCUGCAAGACAUUUCUUCUUAGAUUAAUAGACUAAAGGAAACAAAAGUGGAAUUUUUAGACAAAUUGUCUUGGAAAAAAAAGCCUUAAGAAGCUGUCUGACAUUCUGAAAUUUUACUGGAAAUUCGUUUGUGUAAAGUUGUCAUAUUAAAGAUGCUUUAAUGGUU